ACUGGCAGGCUAGAGUCUUGUAGAGGGGGGUAGAAUUCCAGGUGUAGCGGUGAAAUGCGUAGAGAUCUGGAGGAAUACCGGUGGCGAAGGCGGCCCCCUGGACAAAGACUGACGCUCAGGUGCGAAAGCGUGGGGAGCAAACAGGAUUAGAUACCCUGGUAGUCCACGCCGUAAACGAUGUCGAUUUGGAGGUUGUGCCCUUGAGGCGUGGCUUCCGGAGCUAACGCGUUAAAUCGACCGCCUGGGGAGUACGGCCGCAAGGUUAAAACUCAAAUGAAUUGACGGGGGCCCGCACAAGCGGUGGAGCAUGUGGUUUAAUUCGAUGCAACGCGAAGAACCUUA
This 342-nucleotide ribosomal RNA is filed under the name Klebsiella pneumoniae. RNAcentral describes it as "bacterial SSU rRNA". It matches the Rfam family "Bacterial small subunit ribosomal RNA", at positions 632 to 973 of the family's 1533-position model. The record is from RNAcentral. Lineage: Bacteria; Pseudomonadati; Pseudomonadota; Gammaproteobacteria; Enterobacterales; Enterobacteriaceae.